RNAcentral lists this long non-coding RNA (10144 nucleotides) under Erythranthe guttata (spotted monkey flower). RNAcentral's name for it is "long non-coding RNA (EGUT_LNC003481)". The record is from RNAcentral. Lineage: Eukaryota; Viridiplantae; Streptophyta; Magnoliopsida; Lamiales; Phrymaceae.
UUAUUCGAGUGCUACAUUCUCACUAAACGUUCUUUUCGGUUCGAGAAUAAAUCAGAGUUCGAAAAGGUUAUUUUGGUGAAUAUUCCGAAGUUUCCUAACGAAGGCAUGAAAAUAGCAAUUUACGAAACUUAAUAUAUUAAGAUAGGAAAUAAGUACGAUUCAUAAUGAAAAACGAGUUCAAAAGUACGAAAGGGAAAUGUUACGGUUUUAGGGUUACACCACCAAAAGAAAAUAACCAAAAUCCUAGCAUUCGUUCAUAGGUCCUCGUACGUCUUCCAAAAUCCCGGGCAAGACCUCGAUCCACUACUCGAUCCAUCCCGGUUGAGGAUUACUACUACCUGCAAUUAAAAGACAUCUAUAUGAGCUAUAAAGCUCAGUAAGAAAUCCGAGUACUAUCAAACUUUGGAAAUACGUUAUAUAUAUAAUAUAUAAUAUUGUAUACCCGUUCUUACCCACGUUUCAUACAACAACACAAAUCAAUCGGUCAAAUCACAUAUCUCACGAAAGCACAUCUUUUCACAAGAUUACGUAAUUAUGCAAAAUGACGAAAAUGCCCUUUUUGUGAAAAUCAUGAAAACACAUUUUUCGGUUUAUCGGAUCCGUGAAAGAUUAAUUUCUGUACUGGAUAAUAAACCUGUUACGAGCCCGUUUUCACUAAGUGGAAUCAAACCACUACCACAUCAUCCUAGUUGGAUACCGGCCCACUAUAUCCGAGUUGUUUAUUACCCGAUAUUCCAUUAAUCUUUCAAACAAAAAUCAUUUAAUGCAACUUUUCGAAAUUAUGCUCAUGACCCACACAUAACAUCACAAAUGUCAAUCAAGUGCCACAAUUCACACAAAUACCACAAUUUACCACAUAUUUAUGAUUUGAGCAAAAAUCUCAAUUUCACACACAUAAACACACAACCACACACGGCACACACACCAUGCACAAUCAGCACCCACACAUUCACACAUUUUCAGCAUACACCCAUGCACCAUCAACACAUUAAACUUCACCAAUUACUCAUCAAAGCAAGCUCAAGAACAAAACACCUUUUUACCUUUAUUUAAUGGACUUAUUACCACAUCUAGGUAAUAAUCCAUUUCAAUCAAUUUCCACAGCCAUUAAACACAUCCAACAGUAAUUAAAGUACCAAAAUACCAAAAUUCAUCACUCAUCACCAUUAAAUCAAGAACAUAAACAUUAAAGCACAUAACAUGUUAAAUGAUAUGCAAAUUGUCCUAAUUUCGAAAUAUUAGCAAACCAAUUCCAAAAAUUCUCAAAUUAACUCCUAAAACUCCUAACUGACCCAAGUUUCGAAUUCUGAAAUUAUUUUCAAGUUUCACAUAGUUUCGAAUUUCCUUGAAAUAAAAACUAGAAAAAUUCCAUUUUCACAAAAAUAAUCAAAAACUCUAAUGUAACUCUAUUUGAUUUACAAACUUGCUAAAUAAAACUUUUUCUUAAUUAAUAACUGUUGUAAAAACAGAUUCAAACCUUAAGAAUGAGAGAAUUUUCGGAAAUUUCAAUUUUGACCCAAAAGUUUCGAAAUUUACACAUGCAACCACACUAGAAGUUCAAAAUCACCUUUUUCUUGAAAACCCCUAACAAAUCUGAAAUUCCACUUUAUUAGAUGCAGAAAAAUGAAUUUGAAAAGUCUCUUUAUGCAGAAAUUUCGGAAAUUGCCUAAUUUGCCCCAAAAUCUCUAGAUCUACACAUGCAAGUCUAUUAAAACUUCAAAAUCAACUUUUUCUUACAAAAAUUCUUUAAAUCCGAAAAUCUUGUUCAAUAAAUGCUGGAAAACAGUUUUGAAAACCUUUUUCGGACAAACUUUACAAAAAUUACAGAUUUGGCCCAAACUUUCGAAGAUCUACACAUGCAACCACAAAAAGUUAAAAAUCUCAUUUUCUUGAAAAACCCCUUUUUGAAAUCUGAAAUUCUCAAGGCUUUUGGCCAAUAAAUGCUAUAUCUAACCACUACUAACAUGGAUUAUGCAUGCAAGAACAAGAAUUUAACAAGAACACUCAUUUUCCCAUUUUUCUUCAAAAAGCCCUAAGUUUUCGAAAUCUUUCCCAAUCUUUUAGAAACUUUGAAAAUCCUUUUAAUACUAUUGAUGCCAUUUAAUUGCAGCAGGAAAUCGAAAUUUCUUACCUUUAUGGAAUAGAAAAUAAAAGGAUUCAAGAAGGCUUCAAGAAAUUCUACUAUAGUGGAGAUGUGGGUUUUAUGGAGUUUUUGGAAGAACUCAAGAGAUAUGGCUAUGGAGAUGAUUUAAAGAUGAGAAAUAUUAUCUUGAAGGACUUAUGGUGGAAAGAUGGAAAUUUUGGGUAGUAUUUCUUGGUGGGGUUUGUGGGGUUGCUUUGGCCGAAAGAAAACAAGAGAGAGAGAGAGAAGUGUUCUUCAUAUUCUUGGGUUGGGAGAAUGAUGAAGGUGGGUUACGGUAAUAGGAUAAAAAGAGAGAUAGAAAUAGCUUAGUCAUUCUUACUAGGGGUGAUUAGUAGACAAGUGUAGUGGCUAUGCCACACAAAAGGAGGAAGUGACAAGUGGAAGAAACAUGCAAAAUAUAACUAAUUUAUUUAUUUAAAAUACCCAACUUGCACACUACCCACACACACAAUCCGGACACACACACACAUUCGGUUAUAUAUAUAUAUAUAUAUAUAUAUAUAUAUAUAUAUAUAUAUAUAUAUAUAUAUAUAUAUAUAUAUAUAUAUAUAUAUAUAUAUAUAUAUAUAUAUAUAUAUAUAUAUAUAUAUAUAUAUAUAUAUAUAUAUAUAUAUAUAUAUAUAUAUAUUUACGAAAAUUUAAAUCAUAUAAUCACACAUAUAAAAACGCAUGUAAGUAUUCACGUAAGUAGCAUAAUUAAAUUCACGUAAUGCAUAUAAUCACGUAAUAAUAUUUCCUAAGGGUUUUCUCGAGUUAGGAAUAUUAAUCCCGGGUUUUAGGAUUUUCGGGUUUUGGAAAGGUGGGGUGUUACAAUCUCCCCCCCUUAAAGAAAUUUUGUCCCCAAAAUUGUUACCUGAACAACUCGGGGUAUCGCUCGCGCAUUUCUUCUUCUCGUUCCCACGUGGCUUCUUCGGGUGUAUGGUUUUGCCAAAGGAUUUUAACGAAUUUAAGGUCUCGGUUUCGAAGGGUUUUGGUUUUGAAAUCAAGUAUUUGAGAAGGUUUCUCUUCGUAGGAUAGGUUGGGGUUUAGUUCGACCGGUUCGGUUUUCAAUAUGUGGUCGGGGCUGUGAAUGUAUCUUCGAAGCAUCGAAACGUGAAAGACAUUGUGAAAGUUGGAUAAGUUGGGUGGUAAGGCGAGUCGGUAGGCGCGAGUACCAAUUUUGUCGAGAAUUUCGAAUGGGCCAAUAAAUCGCGGUGCUAAUUUUCCCUUUUUCCCAAAUCGCAUAAUUCCUUUGAAAGGCGCCACUUUUAAGAAUACGGAGUCUCCGACUUCGAAUUCGAGGUCUCUCCUUCGAGUAUUGGCAUAGCUUUGUUGCCGAUCUUGGGCAAUUCACAUUUUCUCUCGGAUGCUUUUGAUGAUAUCGACGGUUUGUUGGACUAGGUCGGGACCAAGGAAUUUUCUUUCGCCGAUUUCGUCCCAAUGGAGUGGGGACCUACACUUGCGACCAUAAUGGGCUUCGUAGGGUGCCAUUCCAAUUGACGAGUGAAAGCUAUUGUUGUAUGCGAAUUCGAUUAGUGGAAGGCGGGAUUCCCAAUUUCCUCCAAAAUCGAGAAUACAAGCGCGGAGAAGAUCUUCUAGGGUUUUGAUAGUUCGUUCGGAUUGACCGUCGGUUUGGGAGUGAUAGGCGGUGCUGAAUUUUAAUUGCGUUCCAAGGGUUUCGUGUAAGCUUUUCCAAAAUUUUGACGUGAAUCGAGGGUCUCGGUCGGAAAUAAUCGAGACGGGGAUGCCGUGGAGUCGGACUAUUUCGCGGACGUAUAGCUCGGUUAGCUUUUCUAGACUCAACGUCAUUCGGAUCGGGAGAAAGUGAGUCGUUUUGGUCAGUCGGUCAACGAUCACCCAAAUGGCGUCGGAUCCUCUUUGGGUCUUCGGAAAUCCUUGCACGAAGUCCAUUGUGAUAGCUUCCCAUUUCCAUUCCGGAAUUAGAUUCGAUUGAAGUAAACCUCCGGGUCUCUGAUGUUCCGCUUUGACUUGUUGGCACACUAGGCAUUCUGCUACGAAUCAGGCCACGUCUUUCUUCAUUCCAGGCCACCAGUAGAGCUUUUUUGAGGUCUUGGUACAUUUUGGUUUCUCCGGGAUGGCAAGUGUACGUGGUUUGGUGAGAUUCGGUUAAGAUGAGUCGGCGAACAUUUGGAUCAUCGGGGACGUAAAUGCGAUUUUGGAAUCGGACGAGACCAUCUUUGGAGAUUUGAAAAUUGGGACUGGAUUCGAGGUUAUCGCGAAUUUUGAGAAUUUGCGGAUCGUUUUGUUGGGCUGAUUUGAUCGAUUCUCCCAAGUUAGGUUGGACUACGAGCGCGUUGAUCGAUUUGCGGCUAAGUGCGUCGGCGACUACAUUUGCUUUGCCGGGGUGGUAGAGUAUCUCGCAGUUGUAGUCUUUGACUAGUUCGAGCCAUCUUCGUUGCCGCAUGUUCAAGUCCUUUUGAGUGAAGAAAUAUUUCAGACUCUUGUGAUCGGUGUAGAUGGUGCACUUUUCGCCAUAGAGGUAGUGUCGCCAGAUUUUGAGUGCGAAAACGACGGCGGCUAAUUCGAGAUCGUGCGUUGGAUAAUUGCGUUCGUACUCUUUGAGUUGACGUGAGGCGUAGGCAAUGACCUUUCCAUUUUGCAUAAGUACGGCGCCUAGACCUAAUUUCGAGGCAUCGCUGUAGACUAUGAAUUCUCCGACUUUCUCUGGUAGUGCGAGAAUUGGUGCCGAGGUGAGUCGAGCCUUCAAUUCAUUGAAACUGGCGUCGCAUUCGGGAGUCCACUGAUACUUGACGUCUUUUCGAGUCAAUCGGGUGAGUGGAGAGGCAAGCUUUGAGAAAUCCUUUACGAAUUUGCGGUAGUAGCCGGCUAGUCCAAGGGAAACUUCGAAUUUCCUUCGCAUUCUUCGGAAUUGACCAAUUUGACACGGCUUCUAUUUUGCUGGGGUCGACGGAGAUUCCUUGUUCUGAAACAAUGUGACCAAGGAAAGCCACACUCGAAAGCCAGAACUCGCAUUUGCUGAACUUGGCGUAAAGUUGGUGCGAUCGGAGGGUUUGGAGUACGGUACGAAGGUGAGACAUGUGAUCUUCUUGGGUUUUGGAGUAGAUGAGAAUGUCGUCGAUAAAAACAAUCACGAACUGGUCCAAGUAUUGAUGAAAGACUCGGUUCAUAAGGUCCAUGAAAGCUGCGGGGGCGUUCGUUAAGCCGAAGGGCAUGACGACAAAUUCGUAGUGGCCGUAUCGGGUUCUGAAAGCCGUUUUGGGGAUAUCGGAUUCUUUGAUUUUGAGUUGGUGAUAGCCGGAUCGGAGGUCGAUUUUCGAGAAGACCGAUGAGCCUUGGAGUUGGUCGAAAAGAUCAUCGAUUCGAGGAAGAGGGUAUUUAUUCUUGUUCGUGAUUUUAUUGAGUUCACGGUAGUCUAUGCAAAGGCGGAGGGAUCCGUCCUUCUUUUUGACAAAGAGAACCGGUGCUCCCCACGGUGAAUGGCUGGGUCGAACAUAGCUUUUGUCGAGCAAUUCUUGGACUUGGUCCUUUAGUUCCUUCAAUUCCAUCGGGGCCAUACGGUACGGUGCUUUGGAAAUUGGCGCGGCUCCGGGGAUUAGGUUGAUUUCAAACUCGAUUUCUCGAUCGGGCGGAAGUCCGGGAAUGUCAUCAGGAAAUACGUCGGGGAAUUCUUGGACAGCUCGAAUGUUGGAAAUUUGCGCUUUGGGAUCGGACUCGGAUUUUAGAAUAUCCACUAGGUAGCCGGAAUGACCCUUGUGAAUGAGUUUGACUGCUUUGAUCGCGGUUAUGAUUGGAAUUGAGGGUUUGAGUUGACUUCGAAAUUUUGGGGUUUCGCCAUUCGGAAGAGGAAAAAUGACCGUUUUGGAGGCACAGUCAAUUUGGGCUUUGAAUUUGGUUAACCAAUCCAUGCCUAGUAUAACUUUGAAAUUUUGGAUCGGUAAGAGGAUUAGGUCGAAAUUCAUGGGUUGAGUGUGAACUCGGAUUGGGCAAUUGAGUAUGACUAGGUUAGAGCACAUCUCUUCGCCAGAGGGAAUGAGAAUUCGGUAUUCGUAAUUUAAUCGGUUUGGUUUGAGAUUUAAGUGCACAAUUAUAUCUUUCGAUAUAAAGGAAUGAGUAGAGCCGGAAUCGAUAAGAGCAUAAAUGGGUUCUUCGAGGAUAAAUAUGGUACCUGCUAUCAUCGACGGGUCUUGCUCGAUCUGUUCUUGAGUCAUGGCGAACACUCGACCCGGGACGUUCGGUGGAGGUUUUGGGCAGUCUUUCACCAUGUGUCCGGGCUGAUGGCAUCGAAAACAGCUUCGUGUUCCGUGUACGCAUUCUCCGGAGUGACUCUUUCCACACUUUGGGCAGGUUGGCCUUGGUGGCGGUGGUCCGGUUGGUUGGCGAAUGGGCUGCGUUCCUUUUCCUCGGAAUGGGCGGUUGCCGAAAUUGUUCUUUUUCCACGGCCGUUGAGUAAUUCCUUGUGGUCGGCGGCUAUUUUGAAUAUCUCGUUCGUCUUGGGCAGCCAUGAGUGCCUUGUCUACGAGUUGGCUGAAAGUUGAGGCGUCGGACAUACGAAUGUCUCUACGGAUUUCGGGUUGGAGGCCACGAAUGAAGUGGUUCUUCUUUUCUUCAGCGUCUCGAGCGAUGAAUGGAGCGUAGAGGCAGCCACGUUCGAAACGGCGGAUGUACUCGAUCAUCGGUAAGUCGCCUUGUCGGAGUUCGAGAAAUUCCUUGAGUUUGUGGGCUCGCACGUCUUUCGAGAAAUAUUUUUCGAAAAAUUGAACUUUGAAAUCGGUCCAUGGCAAAGUUUCGAGGUUUGUUCCUUCUUUGAUUCCUUCCCACCAGUUACGAGCUUCGUUUCGGAGGAGGAAGAUGGCACAGUGCACGCGGUCGCGGUCGGUCAUUUGCAUGUAAUCGUAGAUGACUUCGAGAGAUUUGAUCCAUUCUUCGGCUACAGUGGGGUCGGUUCCACCGUGAAAUUCGGAUGGGUUCAUUCGGAGAAAUCGUUCGUAUAUGGCUUGAGGCGCAUUAUUUUGAGGCGGGUUUUGGUUACGUUGGAGAAGUUGUUCGAUUUGACGUUGGUGGUUUUGGGCUUGUUCUCGGAUUAAGUUGGAGAGAUUAUUAAUGGUUUGAUUGGGGUCGUGCGGUUCAUCAGCAGGAUUGCUCGGGUUCGCUCGGGUUAUUCGUCUUGCCAUUAUGUCUAUAUUAAUUAUCAUUAAUAAGUAAAGCAAAUAAAACACAUAAGGAAAAUAAUACACAUACUUUACCGGGUGGUCCGAGUUUUGCGUCUCGAGUAGUCUCUAAGCCCGUGAAGUUCGUACGAGUAUCUAUGAACAAUGCUCUGAUACCACUCUCUGUAGCACCCCCCUUCUAGUCGGGCGAUAAAUCGAACCGGUUUAUCGGAAUUUCUAUUAAAGUAGCGGAAGCAAAGGAUCUCUUUGUAAUUUUUGAAACGUUGGGAUGGGGUGAAAAUGCAAUUAUCGAAACUUUGUUCUUUUGGGUAUUGAAGGCUUUGCAUUUUCGAAAACUUUAUUGAAUUGAUUUAGUCGAAUAUACAUCUCGGUUUGGAAAUAAGUUUCGAAAGGAGGUUUCUUAUUCGAGUGCUACAUUCUCACUAAACGUUCUUUUCGGUUCGAGAAUAAAUCAGAGUUCGAAAAGGUUAUUUUGGUGAAUAUUCCGAAGUUUCCUAACGAAGGCAUGAAAAUAGCAAUUUACGAAACUUAAUAUAUUAAGAUAGGAAAUAAGUACGAUUCAUAAUGAAAAACGAGUUCAAAAGUACGAAAGGGAAAUGUUACGGUUUUAGGGUUACACCACCAAAAGAAAAUAACCAAAAUCCUAGCAUUCGUUCAUAGGUCCUCGUACGUCUUCCAAAAUCCCGGGCAAGACCUCGAUCCACUACUCGAUCCAUCCCGGUUGAGGAUUACUACUACCUGCAAUUAAAAGACAUCUAUAUGAGCUAUAAAGCUCAGUAAGAAAUCCGAGUACUAUCAAACUUUGGAAAUACGUUAUAUAUAUAAUAUAUAAUAUUGUAUACCCGUUCUUACCCACGUUUCAUACAACAACACAAAUCAAUCGGUCAAAUCACAUAUCUCACGAAAGCACAUCUUUUCACAAGAUUACGUAAUUAUGCAAAAUGACGAAAAUGCCCUUUUUGUGAAAAUCAUGAAAACACAUUUUUCGGUUUAUCGGAUCCGUGAAAGAUUAAUUUCUGUACUGGAUAAUAAACCUGUUACGAGCCCGUUUUCACUAAGUGGAAUCAAACCACUACCACAUCAUCCUAGUUGGAUACCGGCCCACUAUAUCCGAGUUGUUUAUUACCCGAUAUUCCAUUAAUCUUUCAAACAAAAAUCAUUUAAUGCAACUUUUCGAAAUUAUGCUCAUGACCCACACAUAACAUCACAAAUGUCAAUCAAGUGCCACAAUUCACACAAAUACCACAAUUUACCACAUAUUUAUGAUUUGAGCAAAAAUCUCAAUUUCACACACAUAAACACACAACCACACACGGCACACACACCAUGCACAAUCAGCACCCACACAUUCACACAUUUUCAGCAUACACCCAUGCACCAUCAACACAUUAAACUUCACCAAUUACUCAUCAAAGCAAGCUCAAGAACAAAACACCUUUUUACCUUUAUUUAAUGGACUUAUUACCACAUCUAGGUAAUAAUCCAUUUCAAUCAAUUUCCACAGCCAUUAAACACAUCCAACAGUAAUUAAAGUACCAAAAUACCAAAAUUCAUCACUCAUCACCAUUAAAUCAAGAACAUAAACAUUAAAGCACAUAACAUGUUAAAUGAUAUGCAAAUUGUCCUAAUUUCGAAAUAUUAGCAAACCAAUUCCAAAAAUUCUCAAAUUAACUCCUAAAACUCCUAACUGACCCAAGUUUCGAAUUCUGAAAUUAUUUUCAAGUUUCACAUAGUUUCGAAUUUCCUUGAAAUAAAAACUAGAAAAAUUCCAUUUUCACAAAAAUAAUCAAAAACUCUAAUGUAACUCUAUUUGAUUUACAAACUUGCUAAAUAAAACUUUUUCUUAAUUAAUAACUGUUGUAAAAACAGAUUCAAACCUUAAGAAUGAGAGAAUUUUCGGAAAUUUCAAUUUUGACCCAAAAGUUUCGAAAUUUACACAUGCAACCACACUAAAAGUUCAAAAUCACCUUUUUCUUGAAAACCCCUAACAAAUCUGAAAUUCCACUUUAUUAGAUGCAGAAAAAUGAAUUUGAAAAGUCUCUUUAUGCAAAAAUUUCGGAAAUUGCCUAAUUUGCCCCAAAAUCUCUAGAUCUACACAUGCAAGUCUAUUAAAACUUCAAAAUCAACUUUUUCUUACAAAAAUUCUUUAAAUCCGAAAAUCUUGUUCAAUAAAUGCUGGAAAACAGUUUUGAAAACCUUUUUCGGACAAACUUUACAAAAAUUACAGAUUUGGCCCAAACUUUCGAAGAUCUACACAUGCAACCACAAAAAGUUAAAAAUCUCAUUUUCUUGAAAAACCCCUUUUUGAAAUCUGAAAUUCUCAAGGCUUUUGGCCAAUAAAUGCUAUAUCUAACCACUACUAACAUGGAUUAUGCAUGCAAGAACAAGAAUUUAACAAGAACACUCAUUUUCCCAUUUUUCUUCAAAAAGCCCUAAGUUUUCGAAAUCUUUCCCAAUCUUUUAGAAACUUUGAAAAUCCUUUUAAUACUAUUGAUGCCAUUUAAUUGCAGCAGGAAAUCGAAAUUUCUUACCUUUAUGGAAUAGAAAAUAAAAGGAUUCAAGAAGGCUUCAAGAAAUUCUACUAUAGUGGAGAUGUGGGUUUUAUGGAGUUUUUGGAAGAACUCAAGAGAUAUGGCUAUGGAGAUGAUUUAAAGAUGAGAAAUAUUAUCUUGAAGGACUUAUGGUGGAAAGAUGGAAAUUUUGGGUAGUAUUUCUUGGUGGGGUUUGUGGGGAUGCUUUGGCCGAAAGAAAACAAGAGAGAGAGAGAGAAGUGUUCUUCAUAUUCUUGGGUUGGGAGAAUGAUGAAGGUGGGUUACGGUAAUAGGAUAAAAAGAGAGAUAGAAAUAGCUUAGUCAUUCUUACUAGGGGUGAU